AAAUUCUUUUGUGGAAAAAAUUGUUGAUUAUAAAGGGAAUCAUUUGGGCUGGCCUGGUCCCCUCUUAGGCAGUCAGGAGUAAAAACCAACUCAAAACCCAAACAUUUUUAUUUGGGUUCAAAAACUUAGUAGUUAAAAUAUUUAACAGGGGACUAGUUUCAUAUUCUCUUUUCAUAGUGUUCUGCCAUCAAAAUCCUACUAUUUUGGAUUGUAACCGACAAAAUUCAUUUCACAAAGCACUUGUAAGGCUUACAUGUACAUAACUUAAAAAUAUAUGUAAACCUAUGUACGUCUUGUGGGUACUUUGAGAAACCAUAUGGCAUACCUUUGGGACCCCUCAAAUAACAAUAAUUUCAGUUUAAUUUUUUAUCAAUCACAAAACAAU
This 385-nucleotide long non-coding RNA is filed under the name Mytilus galloprovincialis (Mediterranean mussel). Lineage: Eukaryota; Metazoa; Mollusca; Bivalvia; Mytilida; Mytilidae. The record is from RNAcentral.